This 504-nucleotide ribosomal RNA is filed under the name uncultured fungus. RNAcentral's name for it is "SSU rRNA". It matches the Rfam family "Eukaryotic small subunit ribosomal RNA", at positions 248 to 755 of the family's 1831-position model. The record is from RNAcentral. Lineage: Eukaryota; Fungi.
GAUUCAUGAUAACUUCACGGAUCGCAUGGCCUUGCGCCGGCGACGGUUCAUUCAAAUUUCUGCCCUAUCAACUUUCGAUGGUAAGGUAUUGGCUUACCAUGGUUUCAACGGGUAACGGGGAAUUAGGGUUCGAUUCCGGAGAGGGAGCCUGAGAAACGGCUACCACAUCCAAGGAAGGCAGCAGGCGCGCAAAUUACCCAAUCCCGACACGGGGAGGUAGUGACAAUAAAUACUGAUACAGGGCUCUUUUGGGUCUUGUAAUUGGAAUGAGUACAAUUUAAACCUCUUAACGAGGAACAAUUGGAGGGCAAGUCUGGUGCCAGCAGCCGCGGUAAUUCCAGCUCCAAUAGCGUAUAUUAAAGUUGUUGCAGCUAAAAAGCUCGUAGUUGAAACUUGGGCCUGGCUGGCAGGUCCGCCUCACCGCGUGUACUUGUCCGGCCGGGCCUUUCCUUCUGGAGAACCUCAUGCCCUUCACUGGGUGUGUUGGGGAACCAGGACUUUUAC